This is a long non-coding RNA of Perca fluviatilis (European perch), 1604 nucleotides long. RefSeq lists it as uncharacterized. NCBI's taxonomy places the organism in Eukaryota, Metazoa, Chordata, Actinopteri, Perciformes, Percidae. The transcript is spliced from 3 exons. The record is from RefSeq and is a predicted model, not a curated record.
UAGACGAGCCACUUCAACAACGUACUAACUACCUUGCUGGAAAUGGAAAUGCUGUCUCCAAAGGCAUGAGAAAGAGGGGAGCAGUUUCACCAGUGGAGGCGGGGAACGCCAGAGAGGCACAAAAAGACUCUGUGAAGCAACAGUCACUCCCAUGCAGGACUGCUAAAGAGAGAACAGCCUCGCAGGCAGAGAAACUAAAGCGAGGCGCACAGUCAAACGGCAAAGCAGACAACUACUCUGCAACCAAAAACCACAAAACGAGAAGAGCAAGAAACUUGAGGACCAAAGAAGAGAACGAUUUAAGAGAAGCAUGAAAGGGAUUUUGUGCCAUCUCACUUUUCCUCCACUCCACAUGCAGAGUAUCAUCAGUACCUGAGGAAUUAUCACUCCUAACCUUAAUCUCAACCUGACUGCUUAUCUCCGUCUGUUAGUCUCCACCUCUGAGUGACGUACUGCACAUUUUAACAACAGACUGACAUAUAUAAAACACACUCAGCAGGUUAACUCCUUCAGGGGGAGGCAUGUUCAUGUUCAUCACUGCCUCCUCCUCAUCAAGUGGUCGGCUUACUUCGGUUCCGUAACUUUUGCAGGUCAGCUUGGGCUGGGCUGAGCGUGUGAAAACAACAACCGAGACUCUCAUAGGAUGGAUGUCAGAGAGGAGACGCUGAACACCCUGAACAGGAUCUGGGUCAAGCUGCAGGGUCUGCCCAACGCCGACCCCAUAGAGCUGGGAGCUUUCUUUGUCAUCUUAACCUUCAUCUUGGUGGUCCUGCUCAUGACAGCGCUGGCGUGCAUGACCUGCUGCUGCUGCUGCUGCCGUCGCAAAACCAAGACGAGGGGAUCGAUCAUUUGAGCAAAUGUGCUCCACACAAGGAAACAUGACAGGAGACAGAAACACAACAUCGAGCUUUCUCUCUCAAGCAUAAUGUCAUGGCCAUAUACUUAAUAGAUUAUACAGCCUGAUACAGGGUGUGUUUAGUGGCACUGAAGGAGCCUUGCCCUUGAACAAACAAAACACCUGACAAACACAGAGAUGGCUGUCCUGACAAACACACCUGCUAAAGCUUUCAGGUUUUCAGGACGCUCUACAAUCCUUGGAGCAUCCCUGCGCUUUACAGGGCAACAACAUCAGGAAACCCAAAGUGACUUGCAUAAUGCAUAUAAAUAUAAAUAAUAAAUGGAAUAUGAGCUACAAAGAUGUGUAGAAUAAUUUUUUAAAAAUUGCAGUGAGUUGCACAGUGAGAUAUGAAGGGGAGAGCCAAAUUGGUUUGUUUAUGUUUUUUUUCUAAACCUAACUAUGUGUCAUUCUUAAGGAACGAUAAUUGGCAUUCAGUGUUAGGUAAGAUCCUUCUAGGGGGAAGUACUUAUGUUGUGACAUAAGUCACAACAAAGCAUAAAACAGAGAUCAAGUCUGCCCUCUGCUGUACACAAACCAGAAUGAACUAUGAUUUAAUUUUUAAAAAAGGUACAGCAUGCAUGUAAUGACAGUUAUGUUCUAAUGUAUAAAGCUGCAUGUGUAUAUUAUGUGCAAGGGGGGAGACAUUAUGUAAUGAUGCGAUACUUUGAUUACACUUUUGUAUGCAAUAAACAAAAUGGGACUUGCA